This 984-nucleotide long non-coding RNA is filed under the name Ailuropoda melanoleuca (giant panda). RNAcentral describes it as "lncRNA (ENSAMEG00000029783.1)". The record is from RNAcentral. Lineage: Eukaryota; Metazoa; Chordata; Mammalia; Carnivora; Ursidae.
AACUUGACCCAAGACCAUCUCUUGUCAUAAAACAGCAAUCCUCCAACGCUAGACGUGGUCCUCCUACUGUUCACUGAGCAGUCAGAGCGCUGAAGAGCCGCAGGGACAUUUGAAUGGGGCUGCUGUUAUUCCUGAUGGGGGCGGCAUGGCUGGGCCACAGCGCAGACAGAACCACAUCACCGAGGCAAAGAGAACCGUAAGGGGAUUGACACUUCAUCACCUGACUCUCAACUCAUGGCCCAGCCUUUCCUCCAUGAAGUAAGAGUAAAGCAUUUUCAAAUGCAAGCUGUUCUCCAGAGGAGACUUGCCGUAUGUUCAAGUCCCGACACGGACCAGGACCCGCGUGCCAUCAGGAGCCUCAGUCCCUCCUCUGCAAGUGGAGACAGUGUCAGGUGCCCGCGAAGGUGUUGUGAGGACUGCCUACGUCACUCAGGGACCCUGACGCGCAGACCUGCCGGGGGGGCUCCUCUCAUCACUCUUACCCACCUUGCACGCUGUAAUAACGGGGGCACUUCCUCGCGGCCAGCUGUGAGCCAUGAAGGGGCGACUUCUCUGCUGUCAGGAGAGAGGGAUCCCAUGGCCGUCCUGUGCUGGGAUCCAGGGGAGGGACAGUCUUGCUGCCACUUUCUGCAGCCUGCUGUGUGCUAAACCACGUGCCCUCAAAAUUUACCUGCGAGAGCACUAAGCUCCAUCCUUCCAAUGCACCUGAAGAUAAGGUCCUUCAAGAAGGCCUUCAGUGCCAGAGAGGUCUUCAGAAUGGACCAUAUUCCAGGAGGGCCGGUGUCCUGACAGGACUUGUUGACUAGGACACAGACAUGCAUGGAGGGAUGGCCGCACGAGAACAGGGGAGGUGCUGGCUCGACCCUGCAGAGAGGCCUCCGGGGAAACCCGCCUGCCCACUCCCGGAUCUCGGCCACCCCAGAUCUCAGACAUCCCGCCGCCGUGUCUCUGUUGUUCAAGCCCUUCAAAUGUGCCAAAGGCCCC